UGGGGAAUCUUGGACAAUGGGCGAAAGCCUGAUCCAGCCAUGCCGCGUGAGUGACGAAGGUCUUCGGAUUGUAAAGCUCUUUUGGCGGGGACGAUAAUGACGGUACCCGCAGAAUAAGCCCCGGCUAACUUCGUGCCAGCAGCCGCGGUAAUACGAAGGGGGCUAGCGUUGUUCGGAAUUACUGGGCGUAAAGCGCACGUAGGCGGAUUUGUAAGUCAGGGGUGGAAUCCCGGGGCUCAACCUCGGAACUGCCCUUGAUACUGCAAAUCUCGAGUCCGAUAGAGGUGAGUGGAAUUCCUAGUGUAGAGGUGAAAUUCGUAGAUAUUAGGAAGAACACCAGUGGCGAAGGCGGCUCACUGGAUCGGUACUGACGCUGAGGUGCGAAAGCGUGGGGAGCAAACAGGAUUAGAUACCCUAGUAGUCCCUGAGCGGGCUGGCAAGGCGCAU
RNAcentral lists this ribosomal RNA (447 nucleotides) under uncultured bacterium. RNAcentral's name for it is "bacterial SSU rRNA". It matches the Rfam family "Bacterial small subunit ribosomal RNA", at positions 355 to 825 of the family's 1533-position model. The record is from RNAcentral.